ACAACUCUUGAACCGUAGGUCUACUGAGGAAUAUCACACUCUCGGUAGAAGAUCUUCCCUUUGUCAU
RNAcentral lists this microRNA precursor (67 nucleotides) under Bombyx mori (domestic silkworm). RNAcentral describes it as "mir-2774 microRNA precursor family". It matches the Rfam family "mir-2774 microRNA precursor family". Lineage: Eukaryota; Metazoa; Arthropoda; Insecta; Lepidoptera; Bombycidae. The record is from Rfam by way of RNAcentral.